AAAGAGGCUUUACUUAAAGCCAUCAAAAGAAUAUAUACUAAAGAGU
Non-coding RNA from Glycine max (soybean), 46 nucleotides. The record is from Rfam. NCBI's taxonomy places the organism in Eukaryota, Viridiplantae, Streptophyta, Magnoliopsida, Fabales, Fabaceae.